CCCCCUUUUCCAUAAGCUAAGUGGUACAAUAAAGUCCUUACAAUGUGUCUUGUAUUUGUCAUACACCGUUAUCGGAUGGUAACAAUACAUUUGUGUCUUACUUCAUGCAGUUAAAGUAAUAUUGUGUAUGGAUAAUAAUUUUAAAAAGGUUUAUAUCUAAAUUAUUUAGUGAGUUUUAUUUCACAUUCUAAAUUAGCCGCAGGGCGUAUUAAAACCUGAACGCAUUAUAAAGGAAUAUCCC
Molecule: long non-coding RNA, 241 nt
Filed under: Mytilus galloprovincialis (Mediterranean mussel)
Lineage: Eukaryota; Metazoa; Mollusca; Bivalvia; Mytilida; Mytilidae
Source: RNAcentral